Molecule: ribosomal RNA, 694 nt
Filed under: Salmonella enterica subsp. enterica serovar Anatum
Lineage: Bacteria; Pseudomonadati; Pseudomonadota; Gammaproteobacteria; Enterobacterales; Enterobacteriaceae
Description: partial 23S ribosomal RNA
Rfam family: Bacterial large subunit ribosomal RNA
Source: RNAcentral
CCCAGACAGCCAGGAUGUUGGCUUAGAAGCAGCCAUCAUUUAAAGAAAGCGUAAUAGCUCACUGGUCGAGUCGGCCUGCGCGGAAGAUGUAACGGGGCUAAACCAUGCACCGAAGCUGCGGCAGCGAACGUAUCACUUAAAGCGAUUCAGCGGGUUACGAUUGACGGAGCGAAGCGACGUCAAAGCGUAUACAAAGUCGAGUCGGUUUAAGGAUACGUUCGUUGGGUAGGGGAGCGUUCUGUAAGCCUGUGAAGGUGGCCUGUGAGGGUUGCUGGAGGUAUCAGAAGUGCGAAUGCUGACAUAAGUAACGAUAAAGCGGGUGAAAAGCCCGCUCGCCGGAAGACCAAGGGUUCCUGUCCAACGUUAAUCGGGGCAGGGUGAGUCGACCCCUAAGGCGAGGCCGAAAGGCGUAGUCGAUGGGAAACGGGUUAAUAUUCCCGUACUUGGUGUUACUGCGAAGGGGGGACGGAGAAGGCUAUGUUGGCCGGGCGACGGUUGUCCCGGUUUAAGCGUGUAGGUGUGUGUUCCAGGUAAAUCCGGUUCACUUUAACACUGAGGCGUGAUGACGAGGCACUACGGUGCUGAAGCAACAAAUGCCCUGCUUCCAGGAAAAGCCUCUAAGCAUCAGGUAACAUCAAAUCGUACCCCAAACCGACACAGGUGGUCAGGUAGAGAAUACCAAGGCGCUUGAGAG